Long non-coding RNA from Corythoichthys intestinalis (scribbled pipefish), 1021 nucleotides. RefSeq lists it as uncharacterized. NCBI's taxonomy places the organism in Eukaryota, Metazoa, Chordata, Actinopteri, Syngnathiformes, Syngnathidae. The record is from RefSeq and is a predicted model, not a curated record. The transcript has 3 exons.
CCGAAUGGGGGAAAUGAAGACGGGACAGGUGUCUGUCUGCCUGCCUGGGGUAGAAAAGAGCACGAAGUGCUUGUCGAGUGCGCAAUGUGCCCAUGGUUGGCUUGAACAACACAAAUGAGUUGCCGCUGCCUUCAUCUGACCGACUGUUGGAGCGAGGGGAGGCGCACCAACGAGUAAAUCUUACGGAACUCAACUCAUUACUUCCCCUGAGCUGACGAUGCAGAAUUGCUUAGGUGUGGUCUAUGCUCUAUUUGUAACCACAAGCCGCCGGUAGUUGAGCGGUUUGGAUGCAAGAAAAAUCAACCCAGCCAUCAUCUUUGUGCCGCAAAAUUCAUCGCGGGACAUGGCCAGUCAACAGGCUGCCCUUCCACGCGGGAUUACAUUGACUUUGUAUGGGAACCCAUCGCGCAACUGUUUUUACAGUGAAUUAUUCCACUUCUGUCCUCAUACCAGUUAAAGACAAAAUGAUCAGCAGAUAGGAGGAAUCCCCAAAAUUCCAACAAGAUUCUUCAAAAAAGGUUAUUGGAGUCAUGAACACUGACUUUAAUUGAGGCAACCGAGGCCAGCAGUUCUUUGGCUGUUAUCCUGGGUUCCUUUGUGACCUCCUGAAUGAGUCGAGGCAUUGCUGUGCUCUUGCGGUCAGUUUCGUGUGCCGGCUGUUCUAUAAUUUGUUUUCUAGGUCAACUUGUCACCACCAUAAAACCUUAAUUAACUCUUUUGAUACGAUUGGUAACUGUCUAACUUCCAAUUUGAAAGAGCUCAAAAGUAAAACAUUUUCUGACCACAUUUUGAUGAGUGUGCAUAUUUUUUAUUCAUCUAUUGGGAAUAUUAAUGUAUUGUCUAAGGGGAAAACAUUUUUAAAAUGCUGCCUUGUUCUUGACAUGUAUUCCCAGAUGUUUAUGUUUUCUUUGUUUUUUGUUUUUUAAUGCAUCGACCAGUACAGCAGAGAGGGAGUCUGAUUUGCAAAAACAGCAGAAUAAUUGUCCUGGGACAGACGGAGUAGAAGUAAUGGUGCUUUACU